This 1656-nucleotide small RNA is filed under the name Pan troglodytes (chimpanzee). RNAcentral's name for it is "processed transcript". Lineage: Eukaryota; Metazoa; Chordata; Mammalia; Primates; Hominidae. The record is from RNAcentral.
AAGACAGCAGCCGAGACAGCAGCUGAGACGGCAGCGGCAGCUUCUCAGGGCCGGAGCCAGUUCUUGGAGGAGAGUCUGCACAGGGCAUGGAUCACUGUGGUGCCCUUUUCCUGUGCCUGUGCCUUCUGACUUUGCAGAAUGCAACAGCAGAGACAUGGGAAGAACUCCUGCGCUACAUGGAGAAUAUGCAGGUGUCCAGGGGCCGGAGCUCAGUUUUUUCCUCUCGUCAACUCCACCAGCUGGAGCAGAUGCUACUGAACACCAGCUUCCCAGGCUACAACCUGACCUUGCAGACACCCACCAUCCAGUCUCUGGCCUUCAAGCUGAGCUGUGACUUCUCUGGCCUCUCGCUGACCAGUGCCACUCUGAAGCGGGUGCCCCAGGCAGGAGGUCAGCAUGCCCGGGGUCAGCACGCCAUGCAGUUCCCCGCCGAGCUGACCCGGGAUGCCUGCAAGACCCACCCCAGGGAGCUGCGGCUCAUCUGUAUCUACUUCUCCAACACCCACUUUUUCAAGGAUGAAAACAACUCAUCUCUGCUGAAUAACUACGUCCUGGGGGCUCAGCUGAGUCAUGGGCACGUGAACAACCUCAGGGAUCCGGUGAACAUCAGCUUCUGGCACAACCAAAGCCUGGAAGGCUACACCCUGACCUGUGUCUUCUGGAAGGAGGGAGCCAGGAAACAGCCCUGGGGGGGCUGGAGCCCUGAGGGCUGUCGUACAGAGCAACCCUCCCGCUCUCAGGUGCUCUGCCGCUGCAACCACCUCACCUACUUUGCUGUUCUCAUGCAACUCUCCCCAGCCCUGGUCCCUGCAGAGUUGCUGGCACCUCUAACGUACAUCUCCCUCGUGGGCUGCAGCAUCUCCAUCGUGGCCUCGCUGAUCACAGUCCUGCUGCACUUCCAUUUCAGGAAGCAGAGUGACUCCUUAACACGCAUCCACAUGAACCUGCAUGCCUCCGUGCUGCUCCUGAACAUCGCCUUCCUGCUGAGCCCCGCAUUCGCAAUGUCUCCUGUGCCCGGGUCAGUAUGCACAGCUCUGGCCGCUGCCCUGCACUACGCGCUGCUCAGCUGCCUCACCUGGAUGGCCAUCGAGGGCUUCAACCUCUACCUCCUCCUCGGGCGUGUCUACAACAUCUACAUCCGCAGAUAUGUGUUCAAGCUUGGUGUGCUAGGCUGGGAUGCUGGGUGCGGAGCCCCGUGGUGCACAGUGUCCUGGUCAUGGGCUAUGGCGGCCUCACGUCCCUCUUCAACCUGGUGGUGCUGGCCUGGGCGCUGUGGACCCUGCGCAGGCUGCGGGAGCGGGCGGAUGCACCGAGUGCCAGGGCCUGCCAUGACACUGUCACUGUGCUGGGCCUCACCGUGCUGCUGGGAACCACCUGGGCCUUGGCCUUCUUUUCUUUUGGCGUCUUCCUGCUGCCCCAGCUGUUCCUCUUCACCAUCUUAAACUCGCUCUACGGUUUCUUCCUUUUCCUGUGGUUCUGCUCCCAGCGGUGCCGCUCAGAAGCAGAGGCCAAGGCACAGAUAGAGGCCUUCAGCUCCUCCCAAACAACACAGUAGUCCGGGCCUCCUGGCCUGGAACCCUCAGCCUCUCUGGCUGCCAGUAGUCUGAGGCUACGGCUCCCGCUAGAGAGGGUCGCAGGCCUGCUGCUGGACCCCAG